AUUGAACGCUGGCGGCAGGCCUAACACAUGCAAGUCGAGCGGUUGAAGGGAGCUUGCUCCCUGAUUCAGCGGCGGACGGGUGAGUAAUGCCUAGGAAUCUGCCUAUUAGUGGGGGACAACGCUUCGAAAGGAACGCUAAUACCGCAUACGUCCUACGGGAGAAAGCAGGGGACCUUCGGGCCUUGCGCUAAUAGAUGAGCCUAGGUCGGAUUAGCUUGUUGGUGAGGUAAUGGCUGACCAAGGCGACGAUCCGUAACUGGUCUGAGAGGAUGAUCAGUCACACUGGAACUGAGACACGGUCCAGACUCCUACGGGAGGCAGCAGUGGGGAAUAUUGGACAAUGGGCGAAAGCCUGAUCCAGCCAUGCCGCGUGUGUGAAGAAGGUCUUCGGAUUGUAAAGCACUUUAAGUUGGGAGGAAGGGUUGUAGAUUAAUACUCUGCAAUUUUGACGUUACCGACAGAAUAAGCACCGGCUAACUCUGUGCCAGCAGCCGCGGUAA
This 500-nucleotide ribosomal RNA is filed under the name uncultured bacterium. Its description in RNAcentral is "partial 16S ribosomal RNA". It matches the Rfam family "Bacterial small subunit ribosomal RNA", at positions 30 to 523 of the family's 1533-position model. The record is from RNAcentral.